This 733-nucleotide long non-coding RNA is filed under the name Lathyrus oleraceus (garden pea). RNAcentral's name for it is "Pisum sativum (pea) long non-coding RNA (PSAT_LNC015368)". Lineage: Eukaryota; Viridiplantae; Streptophyta; Magnoliopsida; Fabales; Fabaceae. The record is from RNAcentral.
UCAGUUUAAUGGUAAAGUGUUAAAUUUUAUCUUCAAUGGCUAUCCAAGAGUUAUGAAUGGUUAUGAGCUAUUGGGACUGUAAUCUUAAGGAUGAAAGUUCAUCAAUCAAUAAAAUAUUCCACUGGGGAGAUAAAUCAGUUGUAAUGUUUGAUAUGCGUGAUUGUAUGAUGCAAUGCAUGGCUAUUUAUUUAUGAUGCGUAUGCCAUGCAAUAUUGGAUAGCAAUGUAAGGUUGGUUUGAUGAGAGAUAGACUUCGACUCGUCGAUAUCCACAUCGGAGAAUUGGAAGGAAGAGCUUCCAAGUUACCAACGUUGCUGGUGAAAAUCCUGCUGGCUGAGGACUACUAUUUGACUCCGUUUGAGGAAAAGCAGUGUAUAACCUAUAUGAGCAGUAGUUGACAUACAAUCGUAUGGCAAGUGUUUUAUUGUAGACCAUUGAUAAUCCGCUGGGACAUUUUCAGCAAUCAAAGUAAUGCAUACCGUUUUUCUCUUUUGAAUUGGCUUUUUAUUGUUCUCAAAGUUUUAUGGCAUUAUGCAAUCAAGAUUGGCAGUUGUUUUGCAAAAAAAUGCAGAAAAACUAAAAAAAUGAGAAUUUACUAAAUAACGACUGAAUUUUAUUGAUAGUGGAAAAUUUGUACAUGUAGAGUGUGUACAAGGAUGCAAAAAAUCCUUAAAGACGAAAUUGUAAAAAAAUGAAAAAACAAAUUAAAUGGCAAAGGGAAAUUUGUUUUGACA